AAUUUAUUUUUUUUUUAAAAAAUUUAAUUAUUUAAAAUAAUAAUAAAAUUUAAUAGUUUAAGUAUUAUAUAAAGAAUAAAUAAUUUUAAUAAUAGUUUAUUAGUAUUGUGAAAUAAAAUUGAAAUAUAAUGAAAAAUUUUUAUUUUAAAAGAAAAUUUUAUUUAUUGUAUCUUGUGUAUCAGAGUAUAUUAAAUAAAAAAUAUUUAUAUAUUUUUCUCGAUUUUAAAAGAUUUAAUAAAUUAAAAAUGUUAAUGUGAUAAAAUUAUAUUUAAUAAUUUAUUAGAAAUGAAAUGUUAUUCGUUUUUAAAGGUAUCUAGUUUUUUAAGAAAUAAAUUUAAUUUAAUUUUCAAAAUUUACUUAUUUAUUUAUUUAAUUAAUUAAUUUUUGAAAUUUAAUAUUUUAUGGGAUAAGCUAUAAAAUAAAUUUUUAUAAAUAAUAAAUAAUAUUUAAAAUUUAAUAUGUUUAAAAGUAUCAAUUUUUAUUAAAUUUGUUAUAAAUUAAUUUUUUUUUAUAAAUUAUUUAUUAUAUUUUAAUUUUUUAUUAAAAUAUUUAUUUUAAUAUUAAAAAUAAAGUAAUAAUGAUAUAAUUAGUAUAUAAUUUUUGUAAAAAUAUAUUUUAAAUUGAAAAGUUUAUGUAAAGAAUUCGGCAAAAAUAAUGUUCGCCUGUUUAACAAAAACAUGUCUUUUAGAAAUUAAUUUAAAGUCUGACCUGCCCACUGAAUUUUUUUUAAAUGGCCGCAGUAUAUUAACUGUGCAAAGGUAGCAUAAUCAUUAGUCUUUUAAUUGAAGGCUGGAAUGAAUGGUUGGACGAAAUAUUAACUGUUUCAUUUAAAUUUAUAAUAGAAUUUUAUUUUUUAGUCAAAAAGCUAAAAUAAAUUUAAAAGACGAGAAGACCCUAUGAAUCUUUAUAUAUGUUAUAUUUUAAUUUUGUAGAUUAAUUUAAUUAUAAUAUUAAUUAUAUAUUUUAUUGGGGUGAUAUUAAAAUUUAAAUAACUUUUAAAAUUUAAAUCAUUGAUUUAUGAAUAAAUGAUCCAUUUUUAAUGAUUAAAAAUUUAAGUUACUCUAGGGAUAACAGCGUAAUUUUUUUGGAGAGUUCAUAUCGAUAAAAAAGAUUGCGACCUCGAUGUUGGAUUAAGAAAUAAUUUUAGGUGUAGCCGUUUAAAUUUAAAGUCUGUUCGACUUUUAAAAUCUUACAUGAUCUGAGUUCAAACCGGUGUAAGCCAGGUUGGUUUCUAUCUUUAAUAAAUUAAUAUAUUUUAGUACGAAAGGAUUGAAUAUAUAAAUAAUUAUAUUUUAAUUAAAGAAUAUAAAUAAUUGAUUAUAA
This 1323-nucleotide ribosomal RNA is filed under the name Eristalinus quinquestriatus. RNAcentral's name for it is "16S ribosomal RNA". The record is from RNAcentral. Lineage: Eukaryota; Metazoa; Arthropoda; Insecta; Diptera; Syrphidae.